UGGGGAAUAUUGGACAAUGGGGGCAACCCUGAUCCAGCAAUGCCGCGUGUGUGAAGAAGGUUUUCGGAUUGUAAAGCACUUUCGACGGGGACGAUGAUGACGGUACCCGUAGAAGAAGCCCCGGCUAACUUCGUGCCAGCAGCCGCGGUAAUACGAAGGGGGCUAGCGUUGCUCGGAAUGACUGGGCGUAAAGGGCGUGUAGGCGGUUUGUACAGUCAGAUGUGAAAUCCCCGGGCUUAACCUGGGAGCUGCAUUUGAUACGUGCAGACUAGAGUGUGAGAGAGGGUUGUGGAAUUCCCAGUGUAGAGGUGAAAUUCGUAGAUAUUGGGAAGAACACCGGUGGCGAAGGCGGCAACCUGGCUCAUAACUGACGCUGAGGCGCGAAAGCGUGGGGAGCAAACAG
This 403-nucleotide ribosomal RNA is filed under the name uncultured bacterium. Its description in RNAcentral is "partial 16S ribosomal RNA". It matches the Rfam family "Bacterial small subunit ribosomal RNA", at positions 355 to 775 of the family's 1533-position model. The record is from RNAcentral.